CAACACCACCUUAAAUAUCAAAUUAAAAGAAUGAUUUGUUCAGUUAUUUGCAGGAGAAGAAUUAUUAUUAUGAAAGAAACUUUAUUUUUACUUCAUUAUAUUUAGUGUAAAGAUAAUCCAAACUACCAUGAUCUUUAUAUAUCAUUGUUAUUGUGGCCGGUGGCCUGUAGCCUGUGAGGUUUAUUAAUUUAUUUAUUCAAAAUCAUUUUGAUUAUUAAUUCGUGUAAUUUUUUUGUUACAAAUCAAUUCCAAACACAAUGCUAGCUAGCAAGAACUAGCAAUAGUUAUAUUUUUUUGACUAGUUUCAAAUGUGAUAUGGAAAUCAGAUCUCAUUUCGAUAUCGUGAAAUAUUUUAUCUCGGUUGUUCGAGAUGUGAUAGUGUGAUACUGUUCUGACCUUGAAAUACUUGUCUGCAAAAAAUAAAAAAUGUAGGAUUUUUUAUGAAUGCUAACUUGUAUAUCUAUUCAUAAUUUGAAUACGUCUGAAAAAUAUCGGGAUAAAAAAUCUGAAUCCUUCGUAAUAAUAUAUAGAUAGGAAAAUUCAGAUAACUUUUUAUAAAAAAACCUAAAAAAUUCUAAAAUAAAAUUUUAAUAGUAUAAAAUCACAUUUAAUAAAGUUAAUUAAUAGUGAAUUAAUCAUUUAAAAUCUUAAAUAAUAAUAUAAGUUAAUUAAAUUUAUAAAUAACAAUUAUUAAUAAUAUGAUACGACCAUCAUCGUACCAGAGCUGUUAUUAGACGACGUCGCCAACAUUAUCGACGCGCCACUGGAAGAAGACCCUACAACAGAAAACGACGCUGAUCUGGAAGAUGGCGCGGAAUCAACAAGAAACUCAAAUGGGGAAACGGCUAGUGAACAAGAUCCGAUUCGGAGUAAACGGAUAUCCGUCCGCCCAAAUCGAUUUAGGGAUUUCAAGACCCAUUUCAUGGAUUCAGAUGACUCGGCGGAAGACUGAGAAGAAAGCAGUCACCUACGUUAAAUAAAUUGGUUUUAAUUAGCAUUAAUAAUUAAUUAGUCCUGUAGCUCAUAUAAGAGCAAGAUAAAAAAAAACUCUUGGUUAUCUUAUCAAUAAAAAUUUUACCUCAGAGAUUUUUCAACAGAAAUCCCAUCUCCACCCCCAACGCAAAGUUGAGCACGACUCCGCUCCUCCACCGUCGCUCCGAUCGUCCUCCAAUACGCAGGUCAUCUCCAAGUUCCGGAAUUCCAACCAUAUCAAGCCCUCUCUCGUUUAGACUUAACAGUCGAUAAAUGUUAAAACUAAGCCUUGAGAUAAGAGGUUUAUCCUCGUUGUGAUCGACUCUUGGCACCCGAGAUUUCAGAUCAUCGGACCGGAGUCUCACCUUCUCUAAGGCGAAUUUGCUCUGAUUACCUCUAAUUAAAUUUAGUGGUAUCAUAAUAUUACUAAGUAGUAUUAUAUAAUUAUUACGAUAUUCGGAUAUCCUAUCCGAAGUUAUCAACCGAAUUCGGAUUUUAAACGAAUCCGUUCAUAUCCGAAUUCGGAGUAAACGUUCAGAUAAUUUUCGAAUGUUAUUUUUGGUAUUU
Molecule: long non-coding RNA, 1539 nt
Filed under: Zostera marina
Lineage: Eukaryota; Viridiplantae; Streptophyta; Magnoliopsida; Alismatales; Zosteraceae
Description: long non-coding RNA (ZMAR_LNC000133)
Source: RNAcentral